GACGAACGCUGGCGGCGCGCUUAACACAUGCAAGUCGAGCGAAGCGGCGGACGGGUGAGUAACACGUGAGUAACCUGCCUUAGACAUUGGGAUAGCCUCGGGAAACCGGGAUUAAUACCAAAUGGUCUAAGAUGGACUCGCGUCCCAUUAGCUAGUUGGUGGGUAACGGCCCACCAAGGCGACGAUGGGUAGCCGGCCUGGGAGGGUGAACGGACACAUUGGAACUGGGAAACGUUCGGGACUCUACGGGAGGGAGCAGUGGGGGAUAGUGCAAAAUUGAGGGAACGCUGAUGCAGCGACGCCGGGUGAACGAAGAAGGCUUUCGAGUCGUAAAGUUCUUUUAUAUGUGAAGCGGUACCAGAAGAAAAAGCCCCGGCUAACUCCGUGCCAGCCGCCGCGGUAAUAC
Molecule: ribosomal RNA, 406 nt
Filed under: uncultured bacterium
Lineage: Bacteria
Description: partial 16S ribosomal RNA
Rfam family: Bacterial small subunit ribosomal RNA
Source: RNAcentral